Long non-coding RNA from Labrus mixtus (cuckoo wrasse), 3139 nucleotides. RefSeq lists it as uncharacterized. The transcript has 2 exons. The record is from RefSeq and is a predicted model, not a curated record. Lineage: Eukaryota; Metazoa; Chordata; Actinopteri; Labriformes; Labridae.
UGUGGGAGCUAAAGAGAGUGUAGUGAUGUACUGUCGUUGAAGAUGCAGGAUACACAGAUGGCAAAGAAGACAGGUUGACUUCGAAUGGAAAAAAUAAUAAAUUAAACAGAGAUAGGAGGAAAAUAAUCACUCAUUCAUAUAUACCAAAACACCUAUUAAUCUUAUAUUAUGACAGGUAAAGUACAACUGAUUACGAAUAUCAGAAAUGAAAAAAACGUGUACAUGAGUUCGAUUUGGGUUUCGACAGAGGGACAGAAGUAUGAAGAGGGGCAGGCAGCCCAUUUGAAGCAGAGCCCCAAAGCUGUAUGAGGAAAAGGAGGUCUUCAGCAUUGCCUUGUUCUCUCAAUCCCUCAACAGGAGCAGCAGGAUAGCUGAAGGCAACAGUGAACAUACUGUUAAGUACACAGCCAGAGAGAAAGAGAGAUGAGCCAAGCGGAGAGAAGCCGUGCUGAGUGCCAGCUUCACGCAGCUUCAAAAGAAAAAUGAGCAGUUGAAAGAAGUUGCUCUAAACUGUGUGGGGCUUCUUGGAUUUUUCUGCUUCUUCCGCUCCUGAUGCCGCUCCAGGGGGGAACCUAAGAUGCGAGGCAGCUGCCUGACUAAGCGAUGAGGCCAAGAGGAGGAAGAGGAGGAUGGAAUUACCCCCACAGCCUUUUUCUCCAGAGGACUUUCCACCCAACAAGUUAAGUGACAUUUGGUAGAGGUUGGCAAUUCGAUACAUAUCUGCAAGGUGGUAGCUGUUCAGUGUGUGAACAAUUGAACGGAAUGUUGUAUCCGUUUUCUUUUUCCCUUUUUCCCUCAGCAGAAUGACUAAAACCUCUGUUGCCGCAGUGACCUAGCAUCUGCAGGCUGUUCAUGAUCAUCAUCAUGUUCAGAUUUAUUUAUCUGAGCUGGCAUCAAUUCUUUGUUUCAUCUCUUCCGGACCAACAUUAGGGUUCCCAUAGUGCCAAAUAAUACAAAAGACAAAAGAAACUGAGGAAACAUGUGUAACCCUUCUGUUCCGAGCAGCAGAAUCCAAAAUAAAUUAAAGACUCUGAAUGCAGUUAAGAAGAACUGUGGUGUGCUACAGUUGUCCACAGCCAGAAUAGGAACAUCAACAAUGUACUAUACUCAUUUCCAGAUCACACAGCCUCUUCCAUCCAGCUUCUGUUACAACUGUUAGUGCACUUAGAACCACGUAUUAUAGCCUCUAAUAGGUGCUGACAGAACAGCCAAACUGGUUUUAUACCACACAUUAUCUUUAAGAAGUAGGGAAAAUGUGUGGUUUAAAUGGCUGUUUAUAAUGUGUGUGUUUGUGCGUCAGAUAAGGACGCUGGAAGUUGGAAGGAUGACUUUAAAAUAUAUAUUUUUUGAAAUGCAGUCAUUGUUUCUUGGCCUUGAAUUCAUAGGCUCCUGUUUUCUUUUCUUGUAAACAUAAUUUUGUCCUCGAACAGAAGAUGCAUAGAGAGUCGCCGGUCUGCACAGACCCUACAGACUCACAGAAGGGAGGGAGGACAGUGUUGCUGGGUCACUGGCCUUCAGUGGGAUUGGGUUGCACCCUGGAUCCCAGAGGAGGGAGAGGAAGCCCGGGGAGGGGGCAGAGAGCACGCUGUGUGGCCAAACAACUAACUGAUAGCGCAGGGGGAAAUGUUCAGCAUCCUCAGCGGCACAUGGCUCACUAGUGGAGGACCCACAUUUACAGCAGAUGGCUACUACAGGGGGUUUGUGCACAUAGAAGGUCGUGUGUGUUUUCAUACCUGUAGGACUGAGCUUGUGUGCGUGUUGGGGAAACUUGUGGGUCUGUUAGGCCACAGAAUAAGGUCCUUGCGAGACAAACACUUUUGAUUCCUGGGCGGUGACCUUCCUCUGUCCCCCUCCGAGUCUCCGGUUUCCGCCUGACCCUCUUCUUCAAGGCCGAACAGACGUUGGUAGUGGAGCCGAUAUGCCGAUUUGAGGGAGAGAAAAAGGGCUAACCAUCUAAGAGAGGAAAAAGAAGGGAAGCAGGAAAACAUGAUUACAUUUUUCAAAAAGAAUAUUCUGGAGAUUCCUACUAUUAGCAUAACUAUUGUUAAAAGAUUGCCAUUAUAUAGUGAUAAAGCUUUCAGAGUGCAAAGAUGACAAAAGAGCUGCUGCACAUGUGGUGUCUUUCUAAGGGACAUUUUGGACAUCUGGACUUUCUGCUGAAGGAAAUUCUCUUUUUUUUUUUACUACCCCAGACACUUCACGGACUUAUUUGGAACAAAGACAAGGAUAGUAACAGAUCCCACAAUGGGACCUUAGAUCCCACCUCACUAAGGUGCCUUGCAACAUGAGACUGGACAUCUCUGCCGGUGACACGUCGAUGAAGCGCAGGAAAGAGAAGCAGCUUCCUUUGUCAUCACCUGGAAGAGUCGAAGUAGAAUAGGAACAGGAAUGAAUGAAACAUCAGAUCUGCAUGUCAAAUAAAAAUGACCGUCUCAGAGCUCCUUGUUUAUUUACGCUUAAGAAAAUGUCCUCACCUUUUCUGUGAAAAAGAGACUGCUGAAUGUGACUUGGAGAAAAGGGAGACAGCAACACUUGAAGUAAUCUGAAGAGGAAGGGAGAGACAGACAGGGUUACAUAAGAGACUUUGAGAGAAAGAAGAAGAAUUUGGAUUUUCACUUAAUGCCAGUGAGAGCCACAUUUAUGUUGCUAACAGCUCUAAUUGAGAUAAUAGCCCUGUGUAACUCCAAAAUCAGCAAAUAUCCACAAGAACUAUUUUACUAGUGUUUAACUCAAUCAUUUCAAUGUUAAACCUAACCCUCUCAAAACAAGGACUGUGGACAUUAUGAUGGACCUAUUUUCAUUGGAUUUCAGGCACAGUGUGUGUGUGUAUCUUUGUAGGAGAGCUUACUUGUUUUUGGCCUGGUUGUGUGCGUGGAUGAGGCCGUGCCGGUACAGAAACUUCGACAUGAUGUAGGGCUUGAUGUACAUGUGGAAAGGAGAGCGAGUUUCCUGGCGCUCGAACAAGUCGGGGUGGUUGCACACCUACACAAACGCACAAAACAGAGAAAACACUGAUUUUGCUUCUUACGCCAAUUCCUUGUGUGUGUGAUUGUACGUCUCAAAUUGAAUCACCACCAAUAAAAUGUAGGCCUGUUAUUAGUAUUGGAACAUUAAAAUUCCCUUGAAAGUCGAGUUUUGA